RNAcentral lists this unclassified non-coding RNA (300 nucleotides) under uncultured Solicoccozyma. RNAcentral describes it as "sequence contains 5.8S rRNA gene, ITS2". The stretch from base 1 to 71 matches the Rfam family "5.8S ribosomal RNA", at positions 84 to 154 of the family's 154-position model. The record is from RNAcentral. Lineage: Eukaryota; Fungi; Basidiomycota; Tremellomycetes; Filobasidiales; Piskurozymaceae.
GUGAAUCAUCGAAUCUUUUAACGCACCUUGCGCUCUUUGGUAUUCCGAAGAGCAUGCCUGUUUGAGUGUCAUGAAAAUAUCAACCUUGACUUGGGUUUUGUGCUCUAGUCUCGGCUUGGAAUUGGGUGCUUGCCGCUUUUACGAGCGGCUCACCUUAAAUGUAUUAGCUGGAUCUGUCUUUGAGACUUGGUUUGACUUGGCGUAAUAAGUAUUUCGCUAAGGACAUUCUUCGGAGUGGCCUCGUUUCUAGGACGCUUGUCCGCUUUCCAAUACAAGUUCCACCUCGUGGACAUGACUUUU